UGAUGAGAGAGAGAGAGAGAGAGAGAGAGAUUGAAGUGAGAGAGAACAUUGGUGGGUUGCCUACUAUAUGUGCCCCGAGUGGGGAUUGAACCUGAAAACUUUCAGUAUGUGGGGUGAUGCUCCAACCAACUGAGCCACACCAGCCAGGGCCCCAUUCUUCUUAUCAGGCCAGGUUGGGCCUUAUUAAAAGUUGGGGCUCUCUCUACAUGUGCCUGGGAUGUAGGGCUCCAACAAGGAGUAGCUCCGGCAUGAACAUGGGGUACGUGUGAGUUGGAAAGACGGAUGUCUGGGAUCAGAAAGGUUUCUAAUAUCUUAUGAGGAGGAAAGAAGAGGCUUAUGACAGAGCAGGUUUCUUGCCUGCUGGGACUGGGCAGCCAUUGCAGCAGGGAGAACAUUCUCCUAAGGGCCUGACUGUGACAAUGGGGGCUUCAGUGUGAGGGUGGAGUUGCCGAGGCUGAGGGAGGGUGCAGGAGUACAAAGGAAGAAAUGAAAGAGGUGGGAGUCCUGCUAGCAGUGAGCCCGUAGACUUCUAACAGAAGUUUUUAUACCUGGUUAGUGACUAUUCCAGACUCCACAAGCACCAUUGUAUGUUUCAGGGGAAAACAGACCUGGACUCUGCCCCAAGCUGCCCGAAGACGCCAUUGGGCUUUGCGCUGAAUUCUGCUCAGGAGAUGAAUCAUGUCCCAGUGGAAUGAAAUGCUGCAGCAAUGGAUGUGGCCAUGACUGCCAACCUGCUAUCCCUGUGGAUGAUGUUGAUGAUCACGAGGAAGAAGAAUGGGGGGGGGUGGUUUAAGCAUGCCUGGAUACAUGAAUCUAAUGCUUGGCAUAACAACACUCUUUAACACAUCAUUCCUGACAGGCGUCUAUCCCAGAAAAUGAAGAUCUACCGUGGUGGUGUCUGAUUCUCAGGAGCUUGUGUGCAAAAUAAAUCUUACCUGUGGCAUUA
Long non-coding RNA from Myotis daubentonii (Daubenton's bat), 946 nucleotides. RefSeq lists it as uncharacterized. The transcript is spliced from 2 exons. Lineage: Eukaryota; Metazoa; Chordata; Mammalia; Chiroptera; Vespertilionidae. The record is from RefSeq and is a predicted model, not a curated record.